RNAcentral lists this small nuclear RNA (113 nucleotides) under Tupaia belangeri (northern tree shrew). Lineage: Eukaryota; Metazoa; Chordata; Mammalia; Scandentia; Tupaiidae. The record is from RNAcentral.
GUGCUCCGCUUUGGCAGCACAUAAGCUAAAAAAUAAGAACAAUGCAGAGGAGAGUAGCAAUGGCCCCCUGCGCCAGGAUAACAACACAAAUUCCUGAAGGGGUCCCUUUUUUU